AAACCUUGAUGAGGACACUCUAAGAGGAGGGCUUUGAAACAUUCCAUACAUCUACAAAAGGAUUCAUUGGUUCUUUGGCGAAAUUGAAGAAUGUCAUUCCUAAGUUU
Molecule: small nucleolar RNA, 107 nt
Filed under: Cephalotus follicularis
Lineage: Eukaryota; Viridiplantae; Streptophyta; Magnoliopsida; Oxalidales; Cephalotaceae
Description: Plant small nucleolar RNA R71
Rfam family: Plant small nucleolar RNA R71
About the family: R71 is a member of the C/D box family of snoRNAs containing the C (UGAUGA) and D (CUGA) box motifs. Multiple nearly identical copies of this snoRNA have been identified in Arabidopsis, and it is thought to function as a 2'-O-ribose methylation guide for 18S ribosomal RNA.
Source: Rfam by way of RNAcentral